This 874-nucleotide long non-coding RNA is filed under the name Monodelphis domestica (gray short-tailed opossum). Its description in RNAcentral is "lncRNA (ENSMODG00000046000.1)". The record is from RNAcentral. Lineage: Eukaryota; Metazoa; Chordata; Mammalia; Didelphimorphia; Didelphidae.
UGAAAACCUCACCCAUGUGGCACCUGGAAAUGUAGUUACAAUGAACUGAGUUGCACAAGAGAUCUUAGCCAUCUCUGCCUCUUAUAUUUGUUUCAGGAUCUUCAGAGAAUUAGUACCUCCAAGAUACACAAGUCCAGAAUGUCCAAAGGCCUUAAAUUUCAUGACAUUGGAGCAGACUUAUGGAAGAAGUGGAUAUAAGAAGCAGUUGAUUCUGAAAGUGUCUGCAGAAGGAGGUCAGAGGAAGACAUUUGAGAUCUCCACAAGAAGAAAUAAACCUCUGAACUCCCAUAGAUUUGGAGCCUGCCAAGGUCCUCCCUCCCACUCAAGUAAAGACAGUCUCACAACAAGGCUGAAGUAACAUCAAAAGAUAUUGCUGGAUAUGUUACUGUCCUGAUUUGGCUUCCAACAGAGGUCUGGAACUGGAGAAGACUCAGUCAGUAGUAUGUAUUUAUUUCUGAUGCUAUUGGAAACAAGGAACAAAUAUAGUUUUAGUGGUUCAGGACAGGGAAAAAGAUGAGGGUUAGAAAUUGGAACUUAAUUCCCUUUGAUCUUAACAUACAAAAGGAGAUGGAUGCAUCCUUUAUUGAAAAAUAGUCAGAGGGGCUAAUCAGUAUUGAGCUGACCUUGGAGUCAGAAAAAUCUAGGCUCAGGUUCUACCUUUUGCACCUGGACAGCUGACUAGGUAAGUCCCUUAAACUCUCCAUGGCACAAGUAACUACCUUAAACUGUAGGUACUUAAUAAGGCACCAUAGUAACUACUUAACAGUAUCUAGUGUUGUUGUUGAGUCAUUUUCUGUAGUUUCCAUCUCUUUGUGACCCCAUUUGUGAUUUUCCAUUUUCUUAUUUAGUUCAUUUUACAGUUGAGGAAGCUGAG